CCAGGUGUAAGUCAAUUGGUAGACGGCUGCGUUUGGGGCGCAGAAGCUGGGAGUUCAAAUCUCUCCACUUGGACCA
This 76-nucleotide transfer RNA is filed under the name Caudoviricetes sp. RNAcentral describes it as "tRNA-Pro". It matches the Rfam family "tRNA". Rfam says of the family: Transfer RNA (tRNA) molecules are approximately 80 nucleotides in length. Their secondary structure includes four short double-helical elements and three loops (D, anti-codon, and T loops). The record is from RNAcentral. Lineage: Duplodnaviria; Heunggongvirae; Uroviricota; Caudoviricetes.